RNAcentral lists this unclassified non-coding RNA (87 nucleotides) under Pseudomonas palleroniana. Lineage: Bacteria; Pseudomonadati; Pseudomonadota; Gammaproteobacteria; Pseudomonadales; Pseudomonadaceae. The record is from RNAcentral.
GUGGGAGGGGGCUUGCCCCCGAUGGCUGUGGGUCAGUCACAGCAUCUGUAACUGAUAGACCUCUAUCGGGGGCAAGCCCCCUCCCAC